GUUGCCUGUGUCGGCUCGAUUUAGUGACGAUUGUUUACGAAGAUCGGUUUAUCUGAUUGGGAUAGUGACAUGAUUUGGGUUUCAUAGGAGCUAUGAGGUAUAGGCGAUCCUUAGGGAGAGCCCCUCUUAAAUACAACAAAUUGAACAGACCUUCGAUUGACCUUAUUCACAUCACCUUUGCACGAUCGGGAAAACAACGUGAUUCUACAAGCAAUCAACAUGACAAGUCUUCAUGAUCAAUUCCUCUACCAACGAUUGUCCCAAAGAUUAGUUUGUAGUUAGAAUUUGGACAAUGAUGUACAAUAGAGUCGGGAUUUGCAGCUUCUCUACAGAAUGAACACCGUUGGUGCGGUUUAGAGUCUUUUGACUGAUUUUUUUUGGACGUUGG
This is a long non-coding RNA of Actinia tenebrosa (Australian red waratah sea anemone), 388 nucleotides long. RefSeq lists it as uncharacterized. The record is from RefSeq and is a predicted model, not a curated record. Lineage: Eukaryota; Metazoa; Cnidaria; Anthozoa; Actiniaria; Actiniidae.